GAUGAACGCUGGCGGCGUGCCUAAUACAUGCAAGUCGAGCGAACGGACGAGAAGCUUGCUUCUCUGAUGUUAGCGGCGGACGGGUGAGUAACACGUGGAUAACCUACCUAUAAGACUGGGAUAACUUCGGGAAACCGGAGCUAAUACCGGAUAAUAUUUUGAACCGCAUGGUUCAAAAGUGAAAGACGGUCUUGCUGUCACUUAUAGAUGGAUCCGCGCUGCAUUAGCUAGUUGGUAAGGUAACGGCUUACCAAGGCAACGAUGCAUAGCCGACCUGAGAGGGUGGACGGCCAGCCGGGAACUGAGACACGGUCCAGACGCCUGCGGGAGGCAGCAGUAGGGAAUCUUACGCGAGGGGGGAGAGCCGGACGGAGCAACGCGGCGUGAGUGAUGAAGGUCUUCGGAUCGUAAAACUCUGUUAGUAGGGAAGAACAUAUGUGUAAGUAACUGUGCACAUCUUGACGGUACCUAAUCAGAAAGCCACGGCUAACUACGUG
This 497-nucleotide ribosomal RNA is filed under the name uncultured bacterium. Its description in RNAcentral is "partial 16S ribosomal RNA". It matches the Rfam family "Bacterial small subunit ribosomal RNA", at positions 28 to 507 of the family's 1533-position model. The record is from RNAcentral.